CUUAGCUUUAUUUCCUCAGAACAGUAAGAUAAAUUCAGACAGGGUAGAGGAGAUCAGUUCAAAUUAAAACUGCAUUGUUUAGCAUAGGAUUAGUAAGAAGUUUGAACUAAUUCCACGAGUUUGAGAUGUUUUCAUCUAGGCAAAAUCUUUGGGACCUCAGCAUCCCUAGAAUGUGAUACAGCAAAAGGCUUUUCAGGUAUUCAUUUUGGGAAGCUUCAGGUUGUACUUCAAGUGGUUUUAUUCUUUGCCAUUGACAGAGAAAGAGGAAACACGUCAGAAAAAGGAAUAAAGGAAAAGGAACUGGUGCUGAAAACCCUGUUCAAGAUUAAGAAUGCUUAGACAAGAUCAUUCUGAAGACCAACAUGGUACAAUGUGAAAACUUCUCCAGCUGUGCAGAACAACAUACCAAGUAUGGUAAUUACUGAGUGACUGAGCGUGGAAGCAUUUGUGUACAAGUUUCUUUAGCUAACACACCUAUGUGGCUGCUACAGAGCAGAAGAAAGUCUCUAUAUUCCUCAUGAAAUUAGUACAGUCUUUCAGUUUUCAGCAUGGUUAACCAGCCUUAUGAUUAAGGACACAAAACCAAGACUUUGUGUCACAAUAGGGCCCAAGCAAGUGGCUUAAUGCUCAUGUAUUAAAGGAAUUAAAUAAGACUCAGAAGCAGCCCUAAUGUGAUGAGCAGGGUUGUUUCACAACAUGAGUGUUUGCAACUUGAUCUGCUUUUCAAAGAGACUGCAAGAACACACAAAUGGAAACUACACUGAAGGACCAAUUGUUCAUAUCAUUGCCAAACUUUCCAAAUUUUGGUACUUCAAGGGUGUAGAAAAUGAAAUCAGAUCACAAGUUUCUUUUGUUGCACAGGGAGCUGCCGUUACUAUAUUAGUUGCAGCCAAAUUUAACAAUGGAAAUGUACAUAUAUCAAAAUAGCACUAAAAAAGCUACAAAUACGAGUAUGUAGAAAAUAACAUGAUCUACAAGACAGAAAAGACACUGUAAUUUUUGUCUAUGAAGUCAGCAAUAAAUCAGAAAAAUAUUGCAAUUUAAGUCACAAACUUUGAAACUUCUUAUUCGAAAGAAGGUCUCAGCCUUGACCACCGUGCACCAUGUGCAUAGAAAGGCUAUGCCUCCAUAGCCUACGAACUUGGCAAAAAACCCACAGAUGGUUACCCAGUGCCACCCUGUGUUGAAACACGUAACUACAUGGACAAACCCUUUUACGUAAGGGUA
This is a long non-coding RNA of Neopsephotus bourkii (Bourke's parrot), 1227 nucleotides long. RefSeq lists it as uncharacterized. NCBI's taxonomy places the organism in Eukaryota, Metazoa, Chordata, Aves, Psittaciformes, Psittacidae. The record is from RefSeq and is a predicted model, not a curated record. The transcript has 3 exons.